AUUGAACGCUGGCGGCAGGCCUAACACAUGCAAGUCGAAUGGUAACAGGAAACAGCUUGCUGUUUCGCUGACGAGUGGCGGACGGGUGAGUAAUGUCUGGGAAACUGCCUGAUGGAGGGGGAUAACUACUGGAAACGGUAGCUAAUACCGCAUAACGUCGCAAGACCAAAGAGGGGGACCUUCUGGCCUCUUGCCAUCAUAUGUGCCCAGAUGGGAUUAGCUAGUAGGUGGGGUAACGGCUCACCUAGGCGACGAUCCCUAGCUGGUCUGAGAGGAUGACCAGCCACACUGGAACUGAGACACGGUCCAGACUCCUACGGGAGGCAGCAGUGGGGAAUAUUGCACAAUGGGCGCAAGCCUGAUGCAGCCAUGCCGCGUGUAUGAAGAAGGCCUUCGGGUUGUAAAGUACUUUCAGCGGGGAGGAAGGGAGUAAAGUUAAUACCUUUGCUCAUUGACGUUACCCGCAGAAGAAGCACCGGCUAACUCCGUG
This 490-nucleotide ribosomal RNA is filed under the name uncultured bacterium. Its description in RNAcentral is "partial 16S ribosomal RNA". It matches the Rfam family "Bacterial small subunit ribosomal RNA", at positions 30 to 507 of the family's 1533-position model. The record is from RNAcentral.